This 253-nucleotide ribosomal RNA is filed under the name uncultured bacterium. Its description in RNAcentral is "partial 16S ribosomal RNA". It matches the Rfam family "Bacterial small subunit ribosomal RNA", at positions 524 to 776 of the family's 1533-position model. The record is from RNAcentral.
UACGGAGGGGGUUAGCGUUGUUCGGAAUGACUGGGCGUAAAGCGCACGUAGGCGGCUUUGUAAGUUAGAGGUGAAAGCCUGGGGCUCAACCCCAGAAUUGCCUUUAAGACUGCAUCGCUUGAAUCCAGGAGAGGUGAGUGGAAUUCCGAGUGUAGAGGUGAAAUUCGUAGAUAUUCGGAAGAACACCAGUGGCGAAGGCGGCUCACUGGACUGGUAUUGACGCUGAGGUGCGAAAGCGUGGGGAGCAAACAGG